RNAcentral lists this ribosomal RNA (846 nucleotides) under uncultured marine bacterium. RNAcentral's name for it is "bacterial SSU rRNA". It matches the Rfam family "Bacterial small subunit ribosomal RNA", at positions 41 to 923 of the family's 1533-position model. The record is from RNAcentral.
GGAGCGCGCNGCUACCUGCAGUCGUAUGGGGCUUUGGCUCCUGGCGGACGGGUGAGUAACACGUAGGCACCUGCCCCCAGACGGGGUCUAAUGGAGGGAAACCUCCGGUAAUCCCCCAUAGGCGCAACAAGUGCUUGGGAAAAGCUCUAGAAGCUGUCUGGGGAUGGGCCUGCGGCUGAUUAGCUAGUUGGUGAGGGUAAUGGCCCACCAAGGCGAGGAUCAGUAGCUGGCUUGAGAGGGCGGCCGGCCACAUUGGGACUGAGACACGGCCCAGACUCCUACGGGAGGCAGCAGUGGGGAAUCUUCCGCAAUGGGCGCAAGCCUGACGGAGCGACGCCGCGUGAAGGACUAAGGCCGUUUUGGGUCGUAAACUUCUUUGCACGGGCUUAGGAAGACUGACUGCCCGAGAAGCAAGCAUCGGCUAACUCCGUGCCAGCAGCCGCGGUAAUACGGGGGAUGCAAGCGUUAUCCGGAUUUACUGGGCGUAAAGCGUCUGUAGGUGGUUCGGUGUGUCUAUUGUCGAAACACAAGGCUCAACUUUGUGGGGCAUUUGGAUACUAUCGGACUAGAGGGCGGUAGAGGUGGGGGGAAUCCCUCGAGGAGCAGUGAAAUGCUUAGAGACGUGGGAGAAGGCCGGAGGCGAAGGCACCUCACUGGGCCGCACCUGACACUGAGAGACGAAAGCUAGGGGAGCAAAUGGGAUUAGAGACCCCAGUAGUCCUAGCCGUAAACGAUGGGUACUCGAUGCUGCGCGCCAUCCGUGCAGUAUCUCAGCUAACGCGAUAAGUGCCCCGCCUGAGGAGUACGCUUGCAAGGGUGAAACUCAAAGGAAUUGACGGGGGCUCC